GAUGAACGCUGGCGGCGUGCCUAAUACAUGCAAGUCGAGCGAACGGACGAGAAGCUUGCUUCUCUGAUGUUAGCGGCGGACGGGUGAGUAACACGUGGAUAACCUACCUAUAAGACUGGGAUAACUUCGGGAAACCGGAGCUAAUACCGGAUAAUAUUUUGAACCGCAUGGUUCAAAAGUGAAAGACGGUCCUGCUGUCACUUAUAGAUGGAUCCGUGCUGCAUUAGCUAGUUGGUAAGGUAACGGCUUACCAAGGCAACGAUGCAUAGCCGACCUGAGAGGGUGAUCGGCCACACUGGAACUGAGACACGGUCCAGACUCCUACGGGAGGCAGCAGUAGGGAAUCUUCCGCAAUGGGCGAAAGCCUGACGGAGCAACGCCGCGUGAGUGAUGAAGGUCUUCGGAUCGUAAAACUCUGUUAUUAGGGAAGAACAUAUGUGUAAGUAACUGUGCACAUCUUGACGGUACCUAAUCAGAAAGCCACGGCUAACUACGUG
RNAcentral lists this ribosomal RNA (497 nucleotides) under uncultured bacterium. RNAcentral describes it as "partial 16S ribosomal RNA". It matches the Rfam family "Bacterial small subunit ribosomal RNA", at positions 28 to 507 of the family's 1533-position model. The record is from RNAcentral.